Sander lucioperca (pikeperch) is the source of this 925-nucleotide long non-coding RNA. RefSeq lists it as uncharacterized. The transcript is spliced from 3 exons. Lineage: Eukaryota; Metazoa; Chordata; Actinopteri; Perciformes; Percidae. The record is from RefSeq and is a predicted model, not a curated record.
GGAGGGGGGAGCAACCGGGCUGGCGAUGGAGUAGGACUCGGAUAAAAGAAACAGAAAAGGGAUUCAAAAGGGGGUCCUCUAGUGGUCUCUCCUGCCGCUCUCGAUCAUAGCGGCCACCAGCCUCGACGCUGCUCCUGGUCCUGCAUUCCUCUGUCCCCGGGCCCAGUGGAACAGCAUGUCCAGCACCAAGGCUCCCAGGUUGUCCCUGGAUGCGUCACUAGAGGGUUUUUUUGAGCAUGAGGAGCAGGGGGAGGGACAGAUGAGCAUCAGUCUGUGUGUAAUCUCCUGCAGUGUCCCAGAUGGCUUAGUGAUGGCUGACAGUGCAGAUUAAAACAAUCAAAAUCCUCUAUCAUUUCUCUCCCACUGCGGUUUUCCUUCACUCACAUUACAUCUCUCCAAUUCCGUCUUGUUCCCUUAGAGGCUUUGGUUGUGCUAACACGCGUUUGUGCACGCACUGGUUAUGUCAUUCACUCAUGUAGAGAUGCUUUAAACAGAAAAUGUACAUUUUUUUUACUGGGCAAUAGGCUAUAAGAUACAGUUCAAAUGCAAACAUUUUAUACUUGCCUUGAUGAAGGCCUCAAUGGCCAAAACGCGUUGCCUUAUUUUAAUGACUUAGUCAAGCAAUUUAAUAUAGGCUUUUUAAACUUUACCCUCCUGAGUGCUUCAGUGUUGUUUAGUUCCCAAAUAAACCAAAGAUUUCUGAAUUUGUAGUGUGACAUGUUGACAGUGUGGUGUCUGAGUCUUGGCCUUAAAAUAAACAUAUAACUGCACUGAAAUUAGAUCUCUAUAUGAUGGCUUGUAAAAACAAUUACCAAAUCAGUAAAUAUUGAGUUCAGUUAAGGAGUUUUGACUGAACAUGACGCAGUUAGGCCAAUCCUACCUGUACUUGAACUGGAUGCGGUCCAACUCCUGGUAGCUUAAGCCA